Molecule: long non-coding RNA, 1333 nt
Filed under: Monodelphis domestica (gray short-tailed opossum)
Lineage: Eukaryota; Metazoa; Chordata; Mammalia; Didelphimorphia; Didelphidae
Description: lncRNA (ENSMODG00000049380.1)
Source: RNAcentral
AUGGUAAGAGAAUCUUUCAAUGUUAUUGGGUUUUUUUUUUACUUUUCUUCAUCUAGAUUAUCCUUCACUUCUGAAUAUUUGCAUAUCUCAAUCCAUUUUUCUCUCUUUUGUUUCUUUGGUGAGGUUUGCCACUGCAGAUUCCAGUUUUUCUAUUCUGCUUAUCAUUUUUGGCAUACAAGACAUAAUGCUCUCCUAAUUUGUGCUUUAAUAAUUCUCAUUUCUCUUUUAAACCACUCAAGAAUACCACUUCUUAGUUCCAUGUUCUCCUCAAAUUCCACAUUGCCCUCUGUCCAUCAAACAUGGGAUAAUUUUCCGUUGUUUUGUAGUAUUUAGUCAUAGAUGCUUGAACUUGUUUACUGGAUCUGGAAAUCAUAUUUCCCUCUGUCAUUUUUUUCCUAUUGAUUUAUCUGUUCAUGUUCAAGGUCUUUGAGUUUUCUUGUUGAAAUCUUUGGUAAUUUCAGUCUUUUCUUCUCCUUUAUUUUCUCCAUCACUCACUUUCUAACUUACUGUAGUUUCCUUAAUUACUGAUUGUAGUUUCCUCAGAGGCUGAAUCUCAAAGCAUCUCAGACAUCUGAGCAAUCCACACAGUUCAUUAGCUUAGAGCUUUGCCCCAGUUGACUUUUGACUAGCCCUAAACUGGAUACCAAACUCUUUUGGACUUGGAGGAGUGCUUAACACUUUCCCUACCCCCAUACACACAUACAAUAUCCUACCCUGAUGUCCUGUCCUGCUCCUUCUGGUAUUUUGUUCUUUGGCUUUGCUCUGUGGCCAUAGACAGGCUUUUGCUUCCCUGGGGCUAUGGCCACUUGGCAAUUCAUUGUAGCCAGGACAAAUUUCCACAGCAGAGCGCUGGGGUCUCCACGGCACUGAAAAGAACAAAGGGGGGAGGGGCUCUGUUUGUAAGCUUGUGUCAUGUUCUUGAAUCUGGUAGUGCAGCCUCACCUACUGGGAGAUGGGAGAUGUGGGAGAAAUGCUGAGUGAGCUCAGAGUCAGUAACUAUUACUUUAAGGAUUUUUUUAAACCUUCUUUUGGAUUCUGGAUAUGACAGACUGUGGAGACUACCAAGGUUGCUUUAUCUGUGGUGCAUGGUUUCUAUUUUAGAGAGGUCUAAGAGGUCUUGGGAAUCAGGGAAAAUGUCUAGUGCUCCAUCUUGUUGCCUACAUGACCUAAUUCUCCAAGUGCUCUUAUUUGCAAAUGCUGAUUGCAUUCAGCCCUAGAAAACUGUAGAACCUCUUAAACAAGAUCCACAAUUAUGUACAAGAAUUCCGCCUAACAAUUUCCCCAGUAAGAGUCAAAGAAAUGAAGAAUGUCUAACUUACUUUGUUAUGCAGUU